Amphimedon queenslandica is the source of this 321-nucleotide long non-coding RNA. RefSeq lists it as uncharacterized. The transcript is spliced from 3 exons. The record is from RefSeq and is a predicted model, not a curated record. NCBI's taxonomy places the organism in Eukaryota, Metazoa, Porifera, Demospongiae, Haplosclerida, Niphatidae.
AAAUACAUUAUACUGCUUUAUUUUCUCUUUCUCUCUCAAGGUAUGAGUGUAGACCAGUCAAUGAAUUGGAACGUGAAGUUACUCCUUCAACUGUCACUAGUGACAAGACGUCUCCAUCGCUUGCUCCUCCUCCUGCUCCUCCUCCUUCAUCUCUCAAUACAUCAUCACCAUCAACAGUGACUACAGACCUACCUUCACCAGAUUCACAAUCAGACACUGGAUUAAUAUUGAGAGAUAAUAGUAAUUCAUCAGUACAACCACAGACUACAAGAUCCUCAUUGAGACCUACACCAGUAUUGUCAGCAUGGGCUGCUGUGAAUC